UGCAGUCGAACGGGAUUGAGAAGCUUGCUUUUCAUGAGAGUGGCGCACGGGUGCGUAACACGUAUGUAACCUACCUUAAUCUGGGGGAUAGCCUCUCGAAAGAGAGAUUAACACCGCAUAACAUUAUCGGAUAGCAUUUUCUGAUAAUCAAAUAUUUAUAGGAUUAAGAUGGGCAUGCGGAACAUUAGCUAGUUGGUAAGGUAAUGGCUUACCAAGGCUACGAUGUUUAGGGGAUCUGAGAGGAUGACCCCCCACACUGGUACUGAGACACGGACCAGACUCCUACGGGAGGCAGCAGUAAGGAAUAUUGGUCAAUGGGCGCAAGCCUGAACCAGCCAUGCCGCGUGCAGGAAGACGGCCCUACGGGUUGUAAACUGCUUUUGUACCGGAAUAAACCUUUUCACGUGUGAGAAGCUGAAUGUACGGUAAGAAUAAGGAUCGGCUAACUCCGUGCCAGCAGCCGCGGUAAUACGGAGGAUCCAAGCGUUAUCCGGAUUUAUUGGGUUUAAAGGGUGCGUAGGCGGUUCUUUAAGUCAGGGGUGAAAGACGGUAGCUUAACUAUCGCAGUGCCUUUGAUACUGAAGAACUUGAAUACACUUGAGGUAGGCGGAAUGUGACAAGUAGCGGUGAAAUGCAUAGAUAUGUCACAGAACACCAAUUGCGAAGGCAGCUUACUAAAG
This 680-nucleotide ribosomal RNA is filed under the name Mucilaginibacter sp. M67C7B. Its description in RNAcentral is "bacterial SSU rRNA". It matches the Rfam family "Bacterial small subunit ribosomal RNA", at positions 56 to 734 of the family's 1533-position model. Lineage: Bacteria; Pseudomonadati; Bacteroidota; Sphingobacteriia; Sphingobacteriales; Sphingobacteriaceae. The record is from RNAcentral.